Molecule: ribosomal RNA, 253 nt
Filed under: uncultured bacterium
Lineage: Bacteria
Description: partial 16S ribosomal RNA
Rfam family: Bacterial small subunit ribosomal RNA
Source: RNAcentral
UACGUAGGGUGCAAGCGUUAAUCGGAAUUACUGGGCGGAAAGCGUGCGCAGGCGGUUUUGUAAGUCUGACGUGAAAUCCCCGGGCUCAACCUGGGAAUUGCGUUGGAGACUGCAAGGCUAGAAUCUGGCAGAGGGGGGUAGAAUUCCACGUGUAGCAGUGAAAUGCGUAGAGAUGUGGAGGAACACCGAUGGCGAAGGCAGCCCCCUGGGUCAAGAUUGACGCUCAUGCACGAAAGCGUGGGGAGCGAACAGG